RNAcentral lists this ribosomal RNA (413 nucleotides) under uncultured bacterium. RNAcentral describes it as "bacterial SSU rRNA". It matches the Rfam family "Bacterial small subunit ribosomal RNA", at positions 505 to 916 of the family's 1533-position model. The record is from RNAcentral.
GUGUCAGCCGCCGCGGUAAUACGAAGGUCCCAAGCGUUGUUCGGAAUCACUGGGCGUAAAGGGAGCGUAGGCGGCGUGGUAAGUCAGAUGUGAAAUCCCGGGGCUCAACCCCGGAACUGCAUCCGAUAUUGCCAUGCUAGAGGAUUGGAGAGGUAGCUGGAAUUCUUGGUGUAGCAGUGAAAUGCGUAGAGAUCAAGAGGAACUCUCGUGGCGAAAGCGAGCUACUGGACAAUUCCUGACGCUGAGGCUCGAAGGCUAGGGUAGCGAAAGGGAUUAUAUACCCCUGUAGUCCUAGCAGUAAACGGUGCACGCUUGGUGUGAGGGGAAUCGACCCCCCUUGUGCCGGAGCUAACGCGUUAAGCGUGCCGCCUGGGAAGUACGGUCGCAAGACUAAAACUCAAAUGAAUUGACGG